This 503-nucleotide ribosomal RNA is filed under the name uncultured bacterium. Its description in RNAcentral is "partial 16S ribosomal RNA". It matches the Rfam family "Bacterial small subunit ribosomal RNA", at positions 30 to 523 of the family's 1533-position model. The record is from RNAcentral.
AUUGAACGCUGGCGGCAGGCUUAACACAUGCAAGUCGAGCGGGGUGAUGGUGCUUGCACUAUCACUUAGCGGCGGACGGGUGAGUAAUGCUUAGGAAUCUGCCUAUUAGUGGGGGACAACAUCUCGCAAGGGAUGCUAAUACCGCAUACGUCCUACGGGAGAAAGCAGGGGAUCACUUGUGACCUUGCGCUAAUAGCUGAGUCUAAGUCGGAUUCGCUAGUUGGUGGGGUAAAGGCCUACCAAGGCGACGAUCUGUAGCGGGUCUGAGAGGGUGAUCCGCCACACUGGGACUGAGACACGGCCCAGACUCCUACGGGAGGCAGCAGUGGGGAAUAUUGGACAAUGGGGGGAAACCUGAUCCAGCCAUGCCGCGUGUGUGAAGAAGGCCUUAUGGUUGUAAAGCACUUUAAGCGAGGAGGAGGCUCUUUUGGUUAAUACCCAAGAUGAGUGGACGUUACUCGCAGAAUAAGCACCGGCUAACUCUGUGCCAGCAGCCGCAGUAA